RNAcentral lists this ribosomal RNA (468 nucleotides) under uncultured bacterium. RNAcentral describes it as "partial 16S ribosomal RNA". It matches the Rfam family "Bacterial small subunit ribosomal RNA", at positions 28 to 507 of the family's 1533-position model. The record is from RNAcentral.
GACGAACGCUGGCGGCGUGCUUAACACAUGCAAGUCGAACGGAAAGGCCCUGCUUUUGUGGGGUGCUCGAGUGGCGAACGGGUGAGUAACACGUGAGUAACCUGCCCUUGACUUUGGGAUAACUUCAGGAAACUGGGGCUAAUACCGGAUAGGAGCUCCUGCUGCAUGGUGGGGGUUGGAUAGUUUAGGCGGUUGGGGAUGGACUCGCGGCUUAUCAGCUUGUUGGUGGGGUAGUGGCUUACCAAGGCUUUGACGGGUAGCCGGCCUGAGAGGGUGACCGGCGACAUGGGGACUGAGAUAGGGCGCAGACUCCAACGGUAGGCAGCAGUGGAGAAUAUUGCACAAUGGGCGGAAGCCUGAUGCAGCGACGCCGCGUGCGGGAUGACGGCCUUCGGGUUGUGAACCGCUUUCGCCUGUGACGAAGCGUGAGUGACGGUAAUGGGUAAAGAAGCACCGGCUAACUACGUG